This 531-nucleotide ribosomal RNA is filed under the name Hypocreales sp. RNAcentral describes it as "eukaryotic LSU rRNA". It matches the Rfam family "Eukaryotic large subunit ribosomal RNA", at positions 39 to 578 of the family's 3401-position model. The record is from RNAcentral. Lineage: Eukaryota; Fungi; Ascomycota; Sordariomycetes; Hypocreales.
CAUAUCAAUAAGCGGAGGAAAAGAAACCAACAGGGAUUGCCCCAGUAACGGCGAGUGAAGCGGCAACAGCUCAAAUUUGAAAUCUGGCCCCUCGGGGUCCGAGUUGUAAUUUGUAGAGGAUGCUUUUGGUGAGGUGCCGCCCGAGUUCCCUGGAACGGGACGCCACAGAGGGUGAGAGCCCCGUCUGGCUGGCCACCGAGCCUCUGUAAAGCUCCUUCGACGAGUCGAGUAGUUUGGGAAUGCUGCUCAAAAUGGGAGGUAUAUGUCUUCUAAAGCUAAAUAUUGGCCAGAGACCGAUAGCGCACAAGUAGAGUGAUCGAAAGAUGAAAAGCACCUUGAAAAGAGGGUUAAAUAGUACGUGAAAUUGUUGAAAGGGAAGCGCUUGUGACCAGACUUGGGCGCGGCGGAUCAUCCGGGGUUCUCUCCGGUGCACUUCGCCGCGUCUAGGCCAGCAUCAGUUCGUCGCGGGGGAAAAAGGCUUCGGGAACGUGGCUCCUCCGGGAGUGUUAUAGCCCGUUGCAUAAUACCCUG